RNAcentral lists this ribosomal RNA (484 nucleotides) under uncultured bacterium. RNAcentral describes it as "partial 16S ribosomal RNA". It matches the Rfam family "Bacterial small subunit ribosomal RNA", at positions 30 to 507 of the family's 1533-position model. The record is from RNAcentral.
AUUGAACGCUGGCGGCAGGCCUAACACAUGCAAGUCGAGCGGAUGAAGGGAGCUUGCUCCUGGAUUCAGCGGCGGACGGGUGAGUAAUGCCUAGGAAUCUGCCUGGUAGUGGGGGAUAACGUCCGGAAACGGGCGCUAAUACCGCAUACGUCCUGAGGGAGAAAGUGGGGGAUCUUCGGACCUCACGCUAUCAGAUGAGCCUAGGUCGGAUUAGCUAGUUGGUGGGGUAAAGGCCUACCAAGGCGACGAUCCGUAACUGGUCUGAGAGGAUGAUCAGUCACACUGGAACUGAGACAUGGUCCAGACUCCUACGGGAGGCAGCAGUGGGGAAUAUUGGACAAUGGGCGAAAGCCUGAUCCAACCAUGCCGCGUGUGUGAAGAAGGUCUUCGGAUUGUAAAGCACUUUAAGUUGGGAGGAAGGGCAGUAAGUUAAUACCUUGCUGUUUUGACGUUACCAACAGAAUAAGCACCGGCUAACUUCGUG